CCUACGGGAGGCAGCAGUGGGGAAUAUUGGACAAUGGGCGCAAGCCUGAUCCAGCAAUGCCGCGUGAGUGAUGAAGGCCUUCGGGUUGUAAAGCUCUUUCGCACGCGACGAUGAUGACGGUAGCGUGAGAAGAAGCCCCGGCUAACUUCGUGCCAGCAGCCGCGGUAAU
Molecule: ribosomal RNA, 169 nt
Filed under: uncultured Skermanella sp.
Lineage: Bacteria; Pseudomonadati; Pseudomonadota; Alphaproteobacteria; Rhodospirillales; Azospirillaceae
Description: partial 16S ribosomal RNA
Rfam family: Bacterial small subunit ribosomal RNA
Source: RNAcentral